This 451-nucleotide long non-coding RNA is filed under the name Daucus carota (carrot). Its description in RNAcentral is "long non-coding RNA (DCAR_LNC000446)". The record is from RNAcentral. Lineage: Eukaryota; Viridiplantae; Streptophyta; Magnoliopsida; Apiales; Apiaceae.
GGUGAAGUAGUAAAAGGUUUCCGGGUACUUCUUUACUAUGUGAUCAAGUAGGUCUAAAACUCUGAGUUGACUUGACCUCAUAGUCCUGCGGCCAAUACACAAGUUCACUGUGUAACAGAGACAAACUGGAACCUUUUGCAUAAUCAACCCAUCCUGGAAGAAAUGCAAGGCCAAAAAUAUCUUUGUCCUCUAUUAACAUAUAAAAACGUAAAAUUUAACAAUCUCUGUGUGUAAAAAAAAAUACUGGAGUUGAACAGAUUCAGUAUACAUAAAUACAAGUAGAUUGGCAGAAGAAAUAACAAAACCAUUAUCGAUACUAGAAAAUGAGGCAAGAUUAGUGCAGUAUGUAAAUGAAAGGAACCUGCAUUCAUAUACCUGGGGUACCUUCACAAACUUCAAGUUAUAGAAUGGAGAAGAAAGUCAACAUAAUCACCUAACUAGUAUGGAGUAU